RNAcentral lists this long non-coding RNA (342 nucleotides) under Elaeis guineensis (African oil palm). RNAcentral's name for it is "long non-coding RNA (EGUI_LNC022996)". The record is from RNAcentral. Lineage: Eukaryota; Viridiplantae; Streptophyta; Magnoliopsida; Arecales; Arecaceae.
UCUUUUUCUCAUUUUCUUCUCCUCUUUUUGGAAAGUAGGGUGGAUGGUUUUAGCCAACCACUUCCAAUGGCAUGACCCCCGACUGUGGGGGUGACCCCUCUUGACACCAGCAAACCCUAUCGAUGCUGACCCUCGACCGCCCGAGCGCAGCCCAUAUCCAAGCAAUGGUGAUCGACACAAGGAUAGAAGAGUGGACUUAUCAACCAUGAAAUCCAACUACCACCAUCUUAAUCACAAGCAAUAGAGACAACUUGGAAAUCAAAAAGGAGAGAAGUAGUCCUUACCUCAUCUCCAAUGAGAAAUCGAUGGUGAUUUGUCAAGGGACAUCAAUGCAAUCUAAGA